GUAUUUAUUGCGCCAAGUGAGACGAAAAGCGGGGGAACCAAGCUCUUUAAGAGCACAGGGGCGAAUUUUCAGUGUGACACCCUGAAAAAGGACAUCUCUCAGUCCUAGCCCGUCAGCUAACCUCGUCAGCAUUGAGGGAAGACUGU
RNAcentral lists this small RNA (146 nucleotides) under Synechococcus sp. RNAcentral describes it as "c-di-AMP sequence". It matches the Rfam family "c-di-AMP riboswitch aptamer (ydaO/yuaA leader)". From Rfam's summary of the family: This family represents a conserved RNA structure found upstream of the ydaO and yuaA genes in Bacillus subtilis and related genes in other bacteria. The ydaO/yuaA element is thought to act as a genetic "off" switch for the ydaO and yuaA genes in its native state. It is believed that the element may be triggered during osmotic shock leading to activation of ydaO, a predicted amino acid transporter gene, and members of the yuaA-yubG operon which code for KtrA and KtrB K+ transporters. Lineage: Bacteria; Bacillati; Cyanobacteriota; Cyanophyceae; Synechococcales; Synechococcaceae. The record is from RNAcentral.